Molecule: ribosomal RNA, 455 nt
Filed under: uncultured bacterium
Lineage: Bacteria
Description: bacterial SSU rRNA
Rfam family: Bacterial small subunit ribosomal RNA
Source: RNAcentral
AGAGUUUGAUCAUGGCUCAGAGCGAACGCUGGCGGCAGGCCUAACACAUGCAAGUCGAACGAACUCUUCGGGAGUUAGUGGCGGACGGGUGAGUAACACGUGGGAACGUGCCUUUAGGUUCGGAAUAACUCAGGGAAACUUGUGCUAAUACCGAAUGUGCCCUUCGGGGGAAAGAUUUAUCGCCUUUAGAGCGGCCCGCGUCUGAUUAGCUAGUUGGUGAGGUAAAAGGCUCACCAAGGCGACGAUCAGUAGCUGGUCUGAGAGGAUGAUCAGCCACAUUGGGACUGAGACACGGCCCAAACUCCUACGGGAGGCAGCAGUGGGGAAUCUUGCGCAAUGGGCGAAAGCCUGACGCAGCCAUGCCGCGUGAAUGAUGAAGGUCUUAGGAUUGUAAAAUUCUUUCACCGGGGACGAUAAUGACGGUACCCGGAGAAGAAGCCCCGGCUAACUUCGUG